GAUAGGGAGUGAGAAAGAGAGAGAGAUAGAUUAAGAGAGACAGAGAGGUUGUUCCCUCAAUAGACAUUGAUUUUGCCCAGGCGUUGCUGAGAUUGAUAUUGAUUUAGGGGCAUUUGGAUUUUCAAUCAGGAUGAGAGCAGUAUCGAAAUUGUAUGAGUCUUUAUAAAGGCUUAGGCACUACAGUGAAAGAGAGAAGAGGGCAAAUCAGUUUGUGUUUCCUUUGUAAAGAUUCCAGUUAUUCAUGAUUACUGUCUUCCUCAGAUCCUAGAAUUCAUGAUUGAAAUGGAAUUCAUCUAAAGAAAAGUCAGAGAAAUACAUGCAGGUUCCAGAUUUUGAUAACAGCAGCUUAAAAGUGGUGAUUUGGAUGGAGUAAGGAAAGAGCAACAAGCAGUUAGGUCCAAAAUUCAGCAACUUGAUGAUGCAAUUAAGGUCGUAGAUAAGUAAAUGGGAUGAGCUGAAAACUGUAACUGAUAAGAGGGAUCAAGCACAACAGAGCAUUUUUACCUUUAGGCAGCAGCUUGAUUAGCAAGGACAACGUUGAAAACCAAUUUUGGUUCGAAAACCAAGAUAGUGGCAGCAUCCAUUCAUCUACUUCAGGGGUGACAUCCUUACAGAUUCACUUGAAGACUCACUUCAAGACUUAUCUAAAGACCUGAUGUAAAUAGCUACCCGUCUUCACACGUUUUGGCCAAGCCUAACCAUUUUUGGCACAAUGUACAUAAACAACUACUUCGUUGACAUCUGUAUUUUUGGAAGUCUGGCAGAGACAUCAUAAUUGCAAUCUGGAAAAGGCACCAGAUUUUUGGUUAGCAUCUGUAGCCUUUAACAUUUGCCUAUAACGUAGUUUUGAUGUAAUAUAUCUAUAAUGUAGAACAAUAUGUUUCAAUGUAAUAUAUCUAUAACAUAGAACAACGUGUAAUAUAGUUUUACUAUAUGUAAUAUAUCUAGAACGUAGUUUCGAUGUAAAAUUCAACCAUAUCAAUAGUAUACCCGCAGCACCGCGCGGGCCUUCUGCCUA
Rosa chinensis is the source of this 1018-nucleotide long non-coding RNA. RefSeq lists it as uncharacterized. The record is from RefSeq and is a predicted model, not a curated record. NCBI's taxonomy places the organism in Eukaryota, Viridiplantae, Streptophyta, Magnoliopsida, Rosales, Rosaceae. The transcript has 6 exons.